CUAAUUGUGCUAAGGUAGCAAAAUCAAUUGCCACUUAAUUGGUGGCUAGUAUGAACGGGUUCACAAAAAGAUCCCUGUCUCUAUCCAGAACAUAAAAUCUAACCUUCAAGUGAAAAGGCUUGAAUCAUAAUAAAAGACAAAAAGACCCUGUCGCGCUUAACUCCACCAAUAUUGCUCAAAUAUUAUCAAGUUUAGUUGGGACGACUUCUGAUUACAUCAACACCAGAUUUCCUUCUCGAUUAAAUAAUCUAUUAAUGACCCUUUUAAGAUCAAAUAAUUAAGCAACCGCAGGGAUAACAGACUAAUUUUCUUCUAGAGCCCAUAUCGACUAAGAA
This 335-nucleotide ribosomal RNA is filed under the name Anelassorhynchus porcellus. RNAcentral's name for it is "partial 16S ribosomal RNA". It matches the Rfam family "Bacterial large subunit ribosomal RNA", at positions 1942 to 2514 of the family's 2925-position model. Lineage: Eukaryota; Metazoa; Annelida; Polychaeta; Echiuroidea; Thalassematidae. The record is from RNAcentral.